Molecule: ribosomal RNA, 1477 nt
Filed under: marine metagenome
Description: bacterial LSU rRNA
Rfam family: Bacterial large subunit ribosomal RNA
Source: RNAcentral
GGUGUGACACAGGAAGGUAGUUCAUCCCAGGCGAUGGUUGUCCUGGGGUAAGGGUGUAGUGAGGGCUAUAGGUAAAUCCGUAGUCCGUAUUCAUGAGACCUGAUGCCGAGCCGAAUGGCGAAGUGAAUGAUCCUAUGCUGUCGAGAAAAGCAUCUAGCGAGCUUUAUGGCGGCCCGUACCCGAAACCGACUCAGGUGGUCAGGCAGAGAAUGCCAAGGUGAUCGAGAGAAUCAUAGUUAAGGAACUCGGCAAAAUGCCCCCGUAACUUCGGGAGAAGGGGGGCCAAAGUGGGUGUAGGAGUUUUCCUCCGAAGCCUGCGGUGGCCGCAGAGAGUAGGCCCAAGCGACUGUUUACCAAAAACACAGGUCCGUGCGAAGUUGUAAGACGAUGUAUACGGACUGACGCCUGCCCGGUGCUGGAAGGUCAAGGGGACUGGUUAGCUCGUAAGAGCGAAGCUGAGAACUUAAGCCCCAGUAAACGGCGGUGGUAACUAUAACCAUCCUAAGGUAGCGAAAUUCCUUGUCGGGUAAGUUCCGACCUGCACGAAUGGCGUAACGAUUUGGGCGCUGUCUCAACUGUGAACUCGGCGAAAUUGCACAACGAGUAAAGAUGCUCGUUACGUGAAGAAAGACGGAAAGACCCCGGGACCUUUACUAUAGUUUGAUAUUGGUACUCGGAACGGCUUGUGUAGGAUAGGUGGGAGACUAUGAAGCGGGCACGCCAGUGUUCGUGGAGUCAACGUUGAAAUACCACUCUGGUCGUUUUGAGUUUCUAACCUCGGUCCAUAUAUCUGGAUCAGGGACAGUGUCUGAUGGGUAGUUUAACUGGGGCGGUUGCCUCCCAAAAAGUAACGGAGGCGCUCAAAGGUUCCCUCAGCCUGGUUGGCAAUCAGGUGUCGAGUGUAAGUGCACAAGGGAGCUUGACUGCGAGACAGACAUGUCGAGCAGGUGCGAAAGCAGGAACUAGUGAUCCGGCGGUGGCUUGUGGAAGCGCCGUCGCUCAACGGAUAAAAGGUACCCCGGGGAUAACAGGCUGAUCUUGCCCAAGAGUCCAUAUCGACGGCAAGGUUUGGCACCUCGAUGUCGGCUCGUCGCAUCCUGGGGCUGGAGUAGGUCCCAAGGGUUGGGCUGUUCGCCCAUUAAAGCGGCACGCGAGCUGGGUUCAGAACGUCGUGAGACAGUUCGGUCCCUAUCUUCUUUGCGCGUAGGAAACUUGAGAAAUGCUGUCCCUAGUACGAGAGGACCGGGACGGACGAACCUCUGGUGUGUCGGUUGUUCCGCCAGGAGCACGGCCGAUUAGCUAUGUUCGGAAGUGAUAACCGCUGAAAGCAUCUAAGCGGGAAGCACGUUUCAAGAUGAGGUUUCCCACUGGUUUACCAGGUAAGGCCCCCAGCUAGACGACUGGGUUGAUAGGUCGGAUGUGGAAGCGAAGUAAUUCGUGAAGCUGACCGAUACUAAUAGGCCGAGGAUUUAACACA